AGGGGAGGGUUGAGAUCUCACAAACAUGUUUAACCCCGCCGCAUUUUUGCGCCUGUCCCAAGUCAGGAGCCUCUUGCCUUUGUUAGUCUUGUAUUAUUUUAAUUUUAGUUUCUUGUGUACAAUUUGGAAAUUAGUAUGGCGUUCAUUAUCACUGAACUAGUAUAUAUUUGUUUAGGGGCCAGUUGAAGGACGCCUCCGGGUGCGGGAAUUUCUCGCUACAUUGAAGACCUGUUGGUGACCUUCUGC
This 246-nucleotide long non-coding RNA is filed under the name Mytilus galloprovincialis (Mediterranean mussel). Lineage: Eukaryota; Metazoa; Mollusca; Bivalvia; Mytilida; Mytilidae. The record is from RNAcentral.